CUUGUGUUUUUCAUGCUUCCGCUCUUUCAAUUGGUAUCAGAGCCACUAUGUUUGCCAUUUAGAUUAUUGAUUAUAUGAUUUAAUUGUGUGGAAUAAUGAUAAGAUGAUAGAUUCAUUGCUGGUUGCAAGAAAGGUGGCGGCUUUGGUGAUGAACACCAUCAUUGGUGUGCCAUCUUUGGCCUUCAUGGGUGGUGCAAGGUUUGGCUUUUAAUUUGUAAUUGUUGUAUGAUCUAAAAGCUUAUCCUAUGUCUAAUUAAAUUGUU
Molecule: unclassified non-coding RNA, 263 nt
Filed under: Hevea brasiliensis (rubber tree)
Lineage: Eukaryota; Viridiplantae; Streptophyta; Magnoliopsida; Malpighiales; Euphorbiaceae
Source: RNAcentral